Molecule: ribosomal RNA, 253 nt
Filed under: uncultured bacterium
Lineage: Bacteria
Description: partial 16S ribosomal RNA
Rfam family: Bacterial small subunit ribosomal RNA
Source: RNAcentral
UACGUAGGCAGCGAGCGUUGUUCGGAGUUACUGGGCGUAAAGGGUGUGUAGGCGGUCCUCUAAGUUUGGUGUGAAAUCUCCCGGCUCAACCGGGAGGGUGCGCCGAAAACUGGGGGGCUAGAGUGCGGGAUGGGUAAGUGGAAUUCCUGGUGUAGCGGUGAAAUGCGCAGAUAUCAGGAAGAACACCCGUGGCGAAAGCGGCUCUCUGGAACGGUACUGACGCUGAGACGCGAAAGCGUGGGGAGCGAACAGG